RNAcentral lists this ribosomal RNA (789 nucleotides) under uncultured archaeon. RNAcentral's name for it is "bacterial SSU rRNA". It matches the Rfam family "Archaeal small subunit ribosomal RNA", at positions 88 to 879 of the family's 1478-position model. The record is from RNAcentral.
GCUCAGUAACACGUGGAGAACGUGCCCUUAAGUGGGGGAUAAUCUCGGGAAAUUGAGGAUAAUACCCCAUAGAUCAUGGCAUCUGGAAUGAGUCAUGGUUCAAAGUUCCGGCGCUUAAGGAUCGCUCUGCGGCCUCUCAGGUAGUAGUGGGUGUAAAGUACCCCCUAGCCUACGACGGGUAUGGGCCUUGAGAGAGGGAGCCCAGAGUUGGAUUCUGAGACACGAAUCCAGGCCCUACGGGGCGCAGCAGUCGCGAAAACUUCACACUGGGGGCAACCCCGAUGAGGGAAAUCCUAGUGCUAGGACUUUUGUUCUAGCUUUUCUCAAGCGUAGAUAACUUGAGGAAUAAGGGCUGGGUAAGACGGGUGCCAGCCGCCGCGGUAAUACCUGCAGCCCAAGUGGUGGUCGAUUUUAUUGAGUCUAAAACGUUCGUAGCCGGUUUGGUAAAUCUUUGGGUAAAUCGGGAGGCUUAACUUUCCGACUUCCGAAGAGACUGCCAAACUUGGGACCGGGAGAGGCUAGAGGUACUUCUGGGGUAGGGGUAAAAUCCUGUAAUCCUAGAAGGACCACCGGUGGCGAAGGCGUCUAGCUAGAACGGAUCCGACGGUGAGGGACGAAGCCCUGGGUCGCAAACGGGAUUAGAUACCCCGGUAGUCCAGGGUGUAAACGCUGCCGACUUGGUGUUGGAGGCCCUUCGGGGGCAUUCAGUGCCGGAGAGAAGUUGUUAAGUCGGCUACUUGGGGAGUACGUCCGCAAGGAUGAAACUUAAAGGAAUUGGCGGGGGAGCAC